RNAcentral lists this long non-coding RNA (231 nucleotides) under Vicia faba (fava bean). Lineage: Eukaryota; Viridiplantae; Streptophyta; Magnoliopsida; Fabales; Fabaceae. The record is from RNAcentral.
AUGCCAUUGAGAAGGCUGAUCAUACCAGAAAGGUUAAAUAAAAUUGGUAUGGAUGUAGCAGUUUCAAAAUGUUACAGUAAAGACAUGAAAUAUAAUUUGAACUUAAGAAAACAGCCAAAAGAUGGAACUCAUUUUUACUCUGCCGAGAGUCUUGGUCAAAUUUUAUCAAGACUUUGUGAUUCCAGCUUUGGAAAGAAUUGUAUACAGUACGUGGUCAAUAAAUCAAAUUGA